This 8360-nucleotide long non-coding RNA is filed under the name Triticum aestivum (bread wheat). Its description in RNAcentral is "long non-coding RNA (TAES_LNC026402)". Lineage: Eukaryota; Viridiplantae; Streptophyta; Magnoliopsida; Poales; Poaceae. The record is from RNAcentral.
GCUGCUCGUUGUGCCCAGUACAACGUCUCCAAGGCAUGUCCAAGCAUAGCUUCAUGCACAUCACUGUGCACCUAUACAUAUAAGGCGGACACAGUAUAUGGUGUAUGUGCCGAUAACGGAUGCUGGUGCGUAGUCUGCGUGAUACCACCUGCAGCUCAAUCUGCGUCUGCAGCCCAGAUUGCGCCUGCGGGGAAUUAAAGGAUAUCGCUUGCUUCCCUUUCUGCCUAAAUAGAAUAAAACAAUGUCUAAUUAAUGUAUUUUUCUCGUACCGACAACAUUGUAUCGGUGUAAGGACCUGCGAGGCAAAAUAACAUCCUAUUAAUAUUGAGCGCUCUUUGGCGAAAUGCAUGAUUAAUCAAUUGGACACUAUAGAGGAUGUAUAAAUAUCCUUUCAUUGCGAGUGGCCAUGAAAAUACGUUUGUGGUUUUUUUUUCUCCAUGUUGAGAACAUUACCAAACCAUUGGAACCGGUCCUCCAUGCAAGUUGCAUGUGGAUGGGAGAUUCACAGCCAAGAUAGUGAAUAACCAGCUCCAUAAGCAACCUUGUUCUGAUCUCGUCAAAACUAUCAAACCCAUCACUUCACACCAUAAACCUGGCAAGCCGGUUCAAAUCUGGUCGAGAAGAAGCCCUUGGGUCCUCGGUGGUCGUCUGAAAGGCAACUUGAAUCACAAAGGGAGUGUCCCUGACGGACCUGCAGGGUCUGAAGUGACGAUCAUCAGCAUGGCGGAUCGAUCAUGAGAUGAAUGCUAAAGCGGCAAGCUAACAUUUGGCAAACGUUGGGUGAAGACAACUGAUGAAAAGUACCCACACGGAUAAUCCAUGCUAACCGAGGCCAGCAGCCGCAUGCAUGGCCAGCACGAGACCUUGGUGCACUAGUAGAAAAAGGUCCAUUUGUCCCGGUUCCAGAGGCCCUUCUGUCCUGGUUUUGGACCCGGGACUAAAGCCCAUGACCUUUAGUCCCAAUUCUCUUACGAACCGGGACAGAUGGGCCUCCAUGUGGCCUCUCCGCCGAGCCCGGGCAGGAGGGCCUUUGUUCCCGGUUCGUAACCCCAACCGGGACCAAAAAGUGUCCACGCGUCAGCAGCUCAGGAGCUGGGGCUUUUGUUUUUUUUUUGAAGGGGGGAGGUUGGGGGUUCUGGAGUCGUUAAUUGGGCCAGACAGCCCAUCUAAGGAAGCCACAGGAGACGGUCGACGGAGCCCAGUCGCGCGAGUGGAUCGAGCACCAAGAUCCCUACCGAGGCGAGCGAGGAGGAGCGCGAGAAUUGAACACGACGCCCUUCAUCCGAGGUUGCAAGGGAAGCUGAUCCAGCCGACGAGGGAAUCCAGCGGACAUGCCGGAUGCGGAUGAAUCAGAGGCCCAGUCGAUCCGUCUAUGAAGUGGGAAGGGGGACGCGGGCGAUGAUGUUCGGCAACCCAUCUGUUGGGAACUGAUCGCAAUCGUACUUUAGUUUCUAAGAUCACAUUCAUGGCGAUUGUUGUGCCCAUCCUUUCCGCUGUCGAGUGGUACUUCUAUAUUUUUCCUCCCAUAACAAUCCUCGGUCACCCUCUCUACUCUGACAUCACAAGCAUCUUUCAGCAUCAUGCUCUGGUAUUACUUAUGCAUGAUUCGUGAAGAUUUGUCAUUGAGGUUUACAAUCGUUCAUUAUUAUACUUGUUCUUUUAGAUUUAUCAUUGUGCCCUACAUGAGUCUCUGUCAAAAUUUGCAUGUGUUAAUUCUGUAUGUAUGCAAUUUGAUAUUUUAAAAUACUAACAUUUGUCCACUUUGUCCUAAAGUAGUUUUUGCUGCCUGGAGGUGAGCAAAGCGAAGGUAUCCCAUUAUCAUGAUUCAGAGGACUCAUGUUAUUCUCUUUAUUGUUAGUGCAACCGACUCCGGUUUAUAUCUCUUCUUGGAAUAAAAAAAUGCAUAUAUGGACCUGACUUCUUAUGUAGCUAUGUUCAAUCAACACAUCAGCAUGUUUUUGUUGGGCUGCAGACAUCCCCGUUCUGCGAUAGGUGCUACAUAGGGAAUUAGGAUUUUACAAAAUUUGCAUACAGAAAUCUUCGGAAUUAAAACAUGUAAAUGUGGACAAGUAUGAAAGAAUACAAAAGACAACAUUUUUAUUUUCAAGUUAUAAAGUGGAAUCCAUAGAUUACAAAGGAAUGUUAUCUCCUAAAAGUGAAUAAUAACAAGACAUCCGUUCAUUCAAAUUUGUGAAUAUUUCUCAAGAUGGGUAAGAUUGACUUUCUCAGAUAGAGUGCGGUAUUGUGACGGUCCCUUUGACUACAUACAUGUUUGUCUCUUUGUUGUGAACAAGCAAGACCUGGAAGAACCAACCUAUUUGUUUAAAUUUCGAAAUCUUGGUGAUGUUGUUUUUCCUUCUUUGCGUAUACUUCUCCUAUUGUUUUGGCGACAUACACUUCAUUGCUAAUCUGCCUUUCAAUGACUAUAUCCUUUUUGGCUGAUAGUCCUCUUAAACCUUUAAAUCAGUUUUUUUAACUGGUGCUCAAUAUAAUGGAUUGUAAUGGUAAGCUGCUUAAUAUAAGAGCUUGGUAACUUGACUUUACGAAUUUAUCGUCCCUUUUUUGAAAUAUUUACUGUCAAUUCUGAGGUGGUGGGCAGCCUAGUGGAGGCUUAGGUAUGUUGAUGGUCCAUCUCCCUUGAUUCCAUUAUUUACAUCCUCUCGACCGCUAGCUCUCACUAGCUACCUGCAGGCACAUAUUUCGCCUAGCCACGCCACACAUGGUGCUCGAGAACUGAUGCUGGUGAGCAUAUCGUUGUGUACAUUCUACUCAUGGGUAAGAUUUUUUAGUUGAAUACAGUUUUGCAAACAGAUUACUUAUGUAUGUUUCUUAGAAAACAUUGCUCCUUGAAUAAUACCCCAUGAUACUUAAACAAGCUCUAUGUCGUUUUUACUAGAUCAGUUUGGUGGUGAUUUAUAUUGAGGAUUUGAUCAUUACUCAUGCAUGCUAAAAGAUUUAUCUGACAUCCAAUUUUGUUCAGGUACAUUUCAUUCUUUUGUACAUUGAAAACUAUUGUUGGUAUAUUUGAUAGCUAGACUGUGCACAUAAGUGUAGAGGCCAUUAGUUAUGUUUUUCAAGCUAUGUUGGUAUCUGUUUGAAGAUUAAUUCCAAUCUGAUAUGUUCCAUUGUCAUCUGACAUUUAAUAGUAAAAUAUACUAUUGAAAAUUAGUUAAAUAUACAUUGAAUAGUUCAAAUAAAGAAAUGCCAUGUCAGAUAAGUUAAGGUGACUACAUAUUUGUCAAUGGCUUUCUCAAAGGUAGGUUUCAAAUCAGAUGUCAUUCAAAACUCAUCCUUGAAUUACCUUUAUACUUGAUUAACUGGACUACAUCACGGAGUUGUCGUCUUUGAAGUUUGAUGAAAUAAGGCCCAUGGUUGUUUUCCACUCUUAAAUUGCCUUUAGUUUGAAAUAAGGCCCAUGGUUGUUUGCUUUCCACUCUUAAAUUGCCUUUUUGACAGCUACAAAAAACUAUACUGAUAGGAGUUUUGAUUUCCCUUCUUCCUGUACUUUUUCGAUAUCACAAAGAAUUGUUCACGCCUUAUUUGUCCAUUUCGUGUUGACAUUUCAACUUGACAAUUACGAGAGCAGCAUGAUUUUAUUUAUGAUUAUUGCUGUUGUAGAGGUGUUAAAUAUAUAAAGUAUGAAAGUCGUAAUUUCAUGAAAGUACUUUGUAAUAUCAGCUUCCUUUGCCUGAUUGAUGUUGCUUUACAGUCUUAUUUGUCAGCAUUUUGUUCAGCGAGUUAAUGCUUUUUCCAUGCUGUGAGGUCAUAUAUGUUGCAGUCACAAAGCACCAAUGAUUUUUCCAUAGACACAAAAGCAAUGCUCCGGCUAUAGCAUUAAUUACACACACUCGUAUUUCCUAGGCUGCUGUAUAAAUAUGUACAAAAGGAUUGCUAUAUCAAAUACACGUCUAUGAUCAGUGCGUAUUAUCUUCCUUCUGACAAUGCUUACCAUGCUUAUAGUAAUCUACAUGGGUCUGGUUCCUUUUAAUAUCAAUAUUUGUCAUCAGAUUCUGAUAUACAUUGUUUCAGUCCAAAAUGUACAGGGUGCACAUUUUCUACAUUUAAUUUCGACUAAGACUUUCUUUUCUUGGUGGUAUGAUCACUUAUUAGUAAUUUGAUGGUUAUCUAUAUAUGUUGAAUUUUCAUAGCAUUUUAACCUCCCAUAUCAAUAUAUUUUCAUAAUAUAAAUUGUUCAAUUUCAUUUCCAAUGUAUUUUACUCAUAUAUUUUUAUUAUUUCAUAAUAUGAAUGGUAUGACAAAUAUAUGAUUGAGUCUUUUGCAAAAAAAAAAUCUUGACUCGUGUAUUUUUAAAAAUUCCUUUCAUUCUUUUCAAAAUAGACGGGCGCGAAAACGCGUGCCAUCAAUGAUCUAGUCAUAAGUGAUGUCCCGACCAGAUUCUUUCAACGUCAAUGAUUUUACUUUUUGGCAAGAUACUUUGGAGGUACGUAAAGCUAUAGAUCAGCGAUGGAUCAACGUUGAGGUCAGGUAAAGAGGCGAUUUGUCCACUUCUUCUAGGGUGGCCGCUACGGUGGUGCCGGAGUUGAGUGACGGGCAUUGGUAUCUUGCUCAAGGGUUUCUUCAGCCGAGAUUGUAAUUUUCUAUCUCGACUAGCUAAUGGUAGUUUUUGCAAUAGCUAGGGUUGUCGUAUCUUUUUUGGUUCUGUCAAGUUGGUUUUUUAGUGGAUCGUAAUUUGAUAUUUAUUUUAUAAAUGAGACACACAUUACAUCGAGAAAAAAAAUCAAGGCUACAGAUCAACAUGACCUCGUGUGUCCCGCAUGACCGCCCAGGACCUGUGUAGUGCGUACGCCGGAUCGUAGGCUCAUACACGAUAUUAGAGCAACUCUAGCAGACCCCACAUCCCGUCCUGAUUCGCAAAAUAACCGCCAAAGUGCGGGUCGGGGCGCGAAAAACGUCCCGAUCAGACCCCGCAUCCCGCCUCGGCCUGCAAAUGUUUUUUGCGGGGCGCGACAAAACAUCUCCCCCAACCUCUAGAUUCACGGGCUAGAGGGACGACCCGAGCUCAGCCCCUAUCCGCAGCGAGAUUUGGCGGGAGGGAUAUUUNNNNNNNNNNNNNNNNNNNNNNNNNNNNNNNNNNNNNNNNNNNNNNNNNNNNNNNNNNNNNNNNNNNNNNNNNNNNNNNNNNNNNNNNNNNNNNNNNNNNNNNNNNNNNNNNNNNNNNNNNNNNNNNNNNNNNNNNNNNNNNNNNNNNNNNNNNNNNNNNNNNNNNNNNNNNNNNNNNNNNNNNNNNNNNNNNNNNNNNNNNNNNCCACCGCACGCUCCCUAGCAGUCCUUCGCCGCCAUGGAUGACUCCCUGCUGUCCCACGUCACCGUCGAGGUCGCUGGCGCUCCUUCUCCUCGGGCGGAUCUCGUCGCCGGCCCAAUUGGCCCCGCUGUUGCCCAAGGUCAAGUCGCGCCUGCCCGCAAGCGGCAGGGCAACGUGGUCGUGCAGGGCAGCGCUACGGCAGCCCUCGCUGCGAGGUCCCGCGCUCCGGGCACCAAUGCUGUUGCGCGAUCUCGGCCGGCGGCGGAGAAGGUCGCCAAGGUCGCCGGCGUCAAGAGGAAGAAGAUUCCGGCCACAAAGAAGCCACCUCCUUCAUCCGCUCACUCCGGCUCGGAAAGAGGUGCCCCGACGAUGCCGCUCAACGGUGCUGCUCCCCCCGCAAGCGAGGUGUUUGACAAAAUGGCCGGAAGGUAUGUGUAUUCGGUCAUGGCAAUUUUCUUUGCUUUUCGCCAUUUUGCAAUAGCUCGUGACUUGUUGUGCUUCACUAUAGCGGUGGUUCGAACAAUGCAACUGCUGAGUUCAUGAACUUGUUGGACACCAACGCCGUUGACAUUGAUCAAGUCCCGUUUGAAGCAUUCGACUACAAUGAAACAGAGGCCGGCGUGGACGAUCAUGGUUUUUAGGACGAUUUAGAGGAGAUCGAAGCGGAAGCAUAUGAGCAAUCGCAAACAAAAACUGGGAAAAGCCAGAGAUUGAAGAAGUACAUGAUCUUGGAAGAUCAAGUUCUCCUGAAUGCAAGGAGUGCGGUGUCUCUUGAUGCAUGCACGGGUACUUGUCAAACCGCCAAGAGGUAUUGGCAAUGGAUCGAAGAUCAAUACUUCCGCAUGAUGGCAAAGUACCCCAAUAGGACUCCACGCACAUUUCGGUCUCUUCAAGGUCGUUGGGAGAAUAUCAAUCCUAUGUGCAGCCGUUGGGCAGCUUGCUUGGAGAGCAAGUAUGCAAUGCACCUCCAAGUGGAGCCGUGGAAUCCGACUAUGUGAGUAUGUUUUGCCUUUGUUCAACUUGUGCAUCAUCAUAUUACAUCAUAUAAAAUGAUUGCAUCAUUUCACUUUGUUCACAUUGUGUAGAAAAAAAUUGCCCAACAUAGAGACAAAUACAUGGAAGCUUCGGAAUGCAAAUUCUUCAAACUAGAGCAUUGUUGGGAGUUGCUCCAAAAGUGCGAUAACUGGAAGUUGAUCGAGAAAGAAACCCCAUAGAAGAGAGGCUCACUUACAAACAUGGAUGAUGAUGAGGACGAUGAUGGCCCAAGAAAUUUGAACAUGCCCGAUGGCGACAAGAAGACUAAGGAGAAGAUGAAGAGAGAGCAUGAAGCAUCGAGCUUGAGGGAGAAGAUUGAUGCCAUGGUGUAAUCAAAUGAGUUGAUGUUGUUGAAGUCGUUGGAGAUCAAGAAAGAGUUGGCUGAGAAGAAGGCAAAGGAGAAGCAAGAAAAGUGGCAAUUGCUCAGGGAAGAGGGGCUGCACAAAGCGGCCAUUGAGGAUAGAAGAGCACAUGCCGAUGAAAACAGAGCCAUGUCCAAGUUGCUCGCCCAAGAGAACAAGAUAAUGUCAAUGAACCGCAAUGACAUGGACGACCUCACCAAAACAUGGCAUGAUAUGGCAAGGAGAGAAAUCUUGAAGAGGAGAAUGGUUGUGUUGGCCGGUGCAUGUUAUACUUCCAGAGAUGUUUUCUCUGCUGGCAAUGUCGAUGAUUUCGGUGCAGGAGUUGGAACAAGCGCCGGAGGUGGAUUCGGUGGUGGUAAUGAACUUCAAGAUGGACUCGAUGGCGUGGAGUGAAGAUCGACCAAGAUGAUGCCGGACGUGGUCGUCACAUUUGCAAGACCCUCUUUUGCGUUUGUCCUACUAAACUGAGGCUUUUAUUUGCGCGUAAACUGUGUUAUGUUGUUUUAAUUUGAACUUAUUCGUGGGCACCAAUUUCAAAUUUGAGAAUUGGGCGUUUUCUGUUUGCGGGUCGACGCGGCGGUGGCCGUGCAGACACCGCAAAAGCCAACCCGUAAAAAAGUAUAUUCCACGAAUAUCCUUUUAUACAGGUCCGUUUGGGGGGUCUGCAUCUGCGGCCAUGCGAGCCAGCCCACAAAAGCCGUUUUCCACGAACUGCAAACGCGUUUUGUAGGCCGGCCGGAUGCGGGGUCUGGUAGAGUUGCUUGUCAGUACUUCAUAUGUUCAUAUCCAUAACCAAAAUAAUAGGUGCGGAUAAGCAUGUCUUAAUUAACCACCAUAAAAUGGGAUACUAAUAGGAUCCAGUUUAUCCCCUAUACUUAGCAAAACUAUAAAUUUAUACUAACGAACAAGAAUAAUAGUAAGUUGCGCGUCCACCCAUUUACCUGUUUAAUAUUUCAAUAAAUGUUAUUAAUUGAUUCCACUUAGUAUAACCAGAGCAUGGCUGCUAUAAAGCACCCAACCUGUAUAGAUCCAUUGCACAUCCACAAAGAUAGAAAGCUACAGAUACAACCGCCGGAAACACAACUCCUAAGUAAAACAAAAAUCUCCUACAUAACAUAGUUUUUCUACAAAUCAAGGAUGAAGACUGUCCAGGUGGUGCUCAUAUGCCUUGUCCUUUCGGUGCUCUGUUCAGGUAUUUUGCCAGUAUGUUUUUCUCCACCGCACUUGUAGGAAAUAUAUUUCGGCUUAUCCGUGCUCCUGCUCUCGAAACCCUGCAGGCAUCGCUGCUCGCUGUGCCCAGUACAACAUUUCCAAGGCAUGUCGAAGCAUAGCUUCAUGCACAGCACUGUGCACCUAUAAAUAUAAGGCGGACACGGUUUAUGGUGUAUGUGCUGAUAACGGAUGCUGGUGCGUAGUCUGCGUGAUACCACCUGCAGCUCAAUCUGCGUCUGCAGCCCAGAUUGCGCCUGCAGGGAAUUAAAGGAUAUCGCUUGCUUCCCUUUCUGCCUAAAUAGAAUAAAACAGUGUCUGAUUAAUGUAUUUUUCUCGUACCGACAACACUGUAUUGGUGUAUCAUGUAGCAAGGACCCGCGAGGCAAAAUAACAUCCUAUUAAUAUUGAGCGCUCUUUGGCGAAAUGCAUGAUUAAUCAAUUGGACACCGUAGAGGAUGUAUAAAUAUCCUUUCAUUGUGAGUGGCCAU